AAUCAACAGCAGCUACAUCUACUACAUCAGCAACAACUAGAUCAAUAUUAACCAAACCAGAUAGAACCGAAUCAGCUUUUCCAACCAGCAGCAGGAGGCAAACUUCAGUAAACCCAACAGCAACGCCGUUUACCAAACCUAAUCAAACAAAAUCACGAGGUUGGAUUUGGUGGGUUGUCAUUGUGUCCAUGUUGUUAGCAGGACUCUUAAUAACUGCGAUGGUGACCAUCGGAUGGAUAAAAACUAAAGGAAAUAAAAAGCAGAAGGAAGACCAGCCUCAGGUGGAUCCUUAUGUUUCUUAUGCAUCCAUGAACCUCGGCAUGGAAACCAGGACAAAAAGCAACGUCCCUGACACUGUGAUCUACAGCACUCUACAAGCUCCAUCUGCUGUCAUCUGAUCAGCUGCUGUCCAGAACUGAAGAAAAAGCAACAUUUCCUACUGAAUGCCUACCAAUCUGUGUAUCAGUGUACAAUGUGUGAGCGUUGGUGUCAUGAUCCGUGUUUCUGUGUGUUUAUUUUUGAGCUUUUUUCUGAGUCCUGUCUCUGCGUCUUCCCCGUUGAUU
This is a non-coding RNA of Poecilia reticulata (guppy), 563 nucleotides long. The record is from RefSeq and is a predicted model, not a curated record. Lineage: Eukaryota; Metazoa; Chordata; Actinopteri; Cyprinodontiformes; Poeciliidae.